AGAAAUCUUCAUCGAUGUAUUUAUGAGAUCCUUUGCUUCUGAAAUACAAUCUUGAGUAGAUCAUUAUUGUAGAAAGUUAAAAUCUUGCUUCUUUAUUGAUUGGAUCUGAACAUUUUAAUUGUAGUCUGAUGCCCUAAUCUUAGAUGGUUUCUCAAUCAUCUACAGUCUGAAUCUAGAUCUAGGGGCUGUUUAACAUGCAUGCAUAUCAAUGGUUUUUUUCUGAUUUAAGCAUAAUCAACUCAUUAGUCUUUGGUUUGCUAGCUAUCUAUUAAUUGUUAAUAAAUUUGAAUACUUGCUUCCUUUAGAUUUGAAUCAUCCCAUAUCACCAAUUUAUCCGGAUGGAGCACAAAGGGGCAUAUUGGAUAUCUCUAUUGUGGAGAUUUUAUCCAUUCAUAAUGGUUAAAAUAUGGAGGUAAGUUCUGCUA
Molecule: long non-coding RNA, 425 nt
Filed under: Elaeis guineensis (African oil palm)
Lineage: Eukaryota; Viridiplantae; Streptophyta; Magnoliopsida; Arecales; Arecaceae
Description: long non-coding RNA (EGUI_LNC000009)
Source: RNAcentral